Molecule: ribosomal RNA, 483 nt
Filed under: uncultured bacterium
Lineage: Bacteria
Description: bacterial SSU rRNA
Rfam family: Bacterial small subunit ribosomal RNA
Source: RNAcentral
AUUGAACGCUGGCGCAUGCUUUACACGAUGCAAGUCGAACGGCAGCACGGGUGCUUGCACUGGUGCGAGUGGCGACGGGUGAGUAAUGCAUCGGAACGUGUCCUGGAAGUGGGGAUAACGCAUCGAAAGAUGUGCUAAUACCGCAUAUUCUCUGAGGAGGAAAGUAGGGGAUCGAAAGACCUUAUGCUUUUGGAGCGGCCGAUGUCUGAUUAGCUAGUUGGUAGGGUAAUGGCUUACCAAGGCGACGAUCAGUAGUUGGUCUGAGAGGACGACCAGCCACACUGGGACUGAGACACGGCCCAGACUCCUACGGGAGGCAGCAGUGGGGAAUUUUGGACAAUGGGCGCAAGCCUGAUCCAGCAAUGCCGCGUGAGUGAAGAAGGCCUUCGGGUUGUAAAGCUCUUUCAGUUGAGAAGAAAAAGUCGCGACUAAUAAUCAUGAUUCAUGACGGUAUCAACAGAAGAAGCACCGGCUAACUACGUG